UACAAGUUGGCUAUUGGUCAACUUUACCGAUAAGACUUAGGACUACCGAUUACCGACUCAUUGUAGAAUCAGCAUAAUGUAGAUUAAC
This is a long non-coding RNA of Trachymyrmex cornetzi, 88 nucleotides long. RefSeq lists it as uncharacterized. The record is from RefSeq and is a predicted model, not a curated record. The transcript has 3 exons. Lineage: Eukaryota; Metazoa; Arthropoda; Insecta; Hymenoptera; Formicidae.